Molecule: long non-coding RNA, 217 nt
Filed under: Elaeis guineensis (African oil palm)
Lineage: Eukaryota; Viridiplantae; Streptophyta; Magnoliopsida; Arecales; Arecaceae
Description: long non-coding RNA (EGUI_LNC051633)
Source: RNAcentral
UGGUGGGAUCAUGAUAUCAAAUAUCCUCUUAUGGUGUGCUGCAUAUCAUUUUGUUGUAUAGUCAUUCAGACCGCAUAUCUGCUUAUGGUAUGUUGUGUAUCAUUUUGUAGCAAAAUCAUCUAGGUUUGCAUAUCUACUUGCAGUGUCAUGUAUCAUCUGUGAUAGAGAUCUUCAUAACUACAUAUCUGCUUAUGGUAUGUUGUAUAUCAUCUUUCAG